AACAAAAACUUACUAGACUAUGACAGACUUCAACAUCCUUUAAAAGACUCGAUAUUACUGUAAAGAACUAGAUGGUAAAACAUGACAUAAAAAGAAAAACAGACUCAAAACAUAAAAAAAUAAAAAAAUCUCCUUAAGCAACUCCUGGAUGAGCGAUCUUGGCCGGAUGGUCCUAAGGCAUCUGUCAUGCCUAAACUCCGGUAAGUAGAUCCACACCUGUAUGAGAAAAUUAGACCAAAUAAAGUUAAAGACCUAGAACAUUAUGUGAGAUAAUAACACUUCCUGUUGGACACAUGCAAGACAUGAUUGAAGCUAUUUCGGCAAAACGGCCUGCGUGGCCCAAAAGUGGCUAGACAUGUAAGAUUUGGCUAAGACCACGCGAAGCCAAGAACCUAAGACUCACUGGGAAGACCGGACCCUAUGUGGGUUGCAUAAGUAUCACGCCCCAAAAGACGAGAAUCAGGUAUGCGUAAUUCGGGAAGAUUGGAUACGGACGAUAAUUAAAAAAAUAAUUGAUUUAGAGAAAACAUAUUUUUUAUCCUCUUUUUUUUUUUUAAAAAAAAUGAUGGGAAAAUGCAAAAUAUUUUUGGAUUUUUCAUUUUCAUUUUUUUUUGUCUUUUUCUUAAAAAAAAUGUGAACGAAAAACAUAAUUGGGUCCCUACUUGCUUCAUUUUUAUACUUCACCCCCUUUUCUUUCUCAUUUACCCUCAACAAUCAUUGGUCUGCCAAAUGAUCCUUUUUACCCUUGAAGAUUGCAACAUGUAGCAUAUAUGAUGCAUCAGGAUGGUCUUUUAUUUUUUGGGUACACUUGUCCUAGACGGACUAAACCUCUGUGUUGAGUCCCCAAAGUCAAAUGCACAUGAUGCAAACAACGUUCCUACUAGGGAUUCGACAUGACGUUAUGUCAUUCUAGGUUCAAACCUAGGAGUGUGUUCUAGACAUGGCUAACCGAGCAGAGGUGGGGGCAACAUACCGAGAGCACGAAAGUCUACCCGACCUAGUUACUGACCUAACCUCGUUCUAUUUAGUAUGACUUCUAACAAAAAAGUGGGCCACGCGUAAGAAGACUCAGAAGAGAGGUGUAAGAAGACAAUUUAAUACAAUUCAAAUAAUAUCAAAGUAGUAAAUAAGCGGCUGUUAGCACAUUAGGUCCACAAAUACAGUAAUAUCAACAAACAAUAAAGCCAAGCAUACAUCAUAUUAACAAGCUCGAAUUCUCAACCCUGAACCAAAAGUUCUGGGUUCUUGUCCCCAGCAGAGCCGCCAGAGCUAUCACACCUCCUUUUUCUACCCCGAAAGGGGUAUAAGGGAGUUUUUUCAAUUAAAGUGACAAUCAAAACGGGAUUAUUUAUCAAAUUCAGAGUUGCCACUUGAGAUAAUUUAUGGUGUCCCAAGUCACCGGUUUAAAAUCCCAAAUCGAGGAAGUUUGACUCUGUUAUACAGUCUACGAAACAUAGAAAUUGGGGAAAGAAAUUCUGUUAACCCGGAAGAAGGUGUUAGGCAUUCCCGGGUUCCGUGGUUUUAGCACGGUCGCUUUGAUCAUAAUUGGCUUAAUCAAAUUGUCUAAUCACUUAUUUUAAACCUAUGUGCAUCCACCCUUUAGUCGCUUUUAAUUUGAAACAAAUCACGAGUGCGUGUAUUCAUUUCGUUUGACGCGUCAAAAAUCAUAUCACGCGUACGUGUCCAUAAUUAAUCACGUUUUAUUAAUAUUAAGAAAGUUUGGCCGAAGUUUUGCGAACGCAUACCUCGAUUUAUUUCUAGAAAUCAUAAUCAUGUCAUGUGAACGUGUACACAAUCACGAUGAUAGAUUAAGUCGCGCCUAAAGCAUUCUAUCAUUUUGUGGAGUAUUAAUCGUUGAUAGAUUCGUUUGAAUCAUGUAUUUCUAUCAUUAAACUCAAAUCAACCUCACUUCCUAUUACUAUAACAAGCUAUAAUUUUCAAGGCAACUUCUUUACCACAGUAUAAUUUUAAUAAUUUAAUCUAAUCAACUAUACUAACAGAUUACAGUUGCCAAAUACAUAUCCUUACGUUGCUUACUCAUUACCUUCACGUUUCAAUCAACAAACAAAAGAAAAGCAUUACGUAAUAGCUAUGAUCAGUUUGCCUUAAGAAAUCCAAAUCCCUUUUUUAAAAAAAAACCACAACCCCACUGCUCAGUCAUUCUCAUUCUCUUAACAAAACAAUCACCAAGAAAAAAAAGUCAUUAAUUACACCAAGGUGCUGAAUAAAACAUAUUUGGAUGAGCAUAAUAUUUUCAAUAACAGACAUUAAUAAUCAAGCAGAACACUCAAACAUUACUCGGCAAAGCAAUAUCAACCAAAAAAAGCAUGCGUAAAGCUUAAAAAAGAGUAGAUAAAUAGUGGAGAGAUAAGAAUGAACCUCAAAUAAACAAACAACUGCCUUCAAAAUUAUUAACAAAAGUUGAACAAUGAGUAUCAAACAAAUCUAGAAACGAUGAAAGACCAUCAACCAGACCUUCGAAGUGCGAGCGGAACCAACGAGCGGAGACCUCAAACGACAACUUCAAAAUGACCUCGAUCUCCAGAAAACACAACUAAUUACGGGGGCUAUUUUGUGACAGAUUGGAGGCUGAUUUUCGGUAGAGUCUCGGCGGGUCUUCAACUGAGUUUAAUGGAGUCCGCUGGAAAAAUGGCAAAUCCGGCCACACCCGCCUAAAUCCAAUCAAACAAAACAAUGUACUUUUUAUAACUCAUAUUGUUUGUAACAACACGUGAAUGAAGAAACAAAUGUAUAGAAAAAGAAACGUCUGCCGUUUUGAAUGGUGGUCGCCGGAAAAAGGUAUUGAUCGCCAGAACUCAAACCCAAACAGAUCGGUGUUCAAAACUUCACUGUCAGAUCUGAAGUUUCCAGCCAAACUCCGGCGAGAAGCGUUGAUUUCUCCAACCAGUGGAGUUCGUCGAAGAGAAGAGACCAUGGAAGUCACCGUGGUUGCGUAGCCAUCGCCGGUGACCAACUCCUACGGACAACAGUGACGCUGAAAAUCAACCGAGAGAGAGAGGGAUAAGGGGUGAGCGUUGGAAAUGGUGUUCUUUUCCUCUAGGAUUGUUCAGUGCCAAGAAGAAGAAGCGGCUGAAGCUUUUUGGUGUCUCCAGCAAUUUUUUUUUUUUUGUGUUUCAUCUCCUGAAGAAGAAGCAACGAUGGUGGGGUCUCCUUUUAGGUCUUAGGGUCUAUUUUUUUUUU
Molecule: long non-coding RNA, 3201 nt
Filed under: Nicotiana tabacum (common tobacco)
Lineage: Eukaryota; Viridiplantae; Streptophyta; Magnoliopsida; Solanales; Solanaceae
Description: long non-coding RNA (NTAB_LNC004700)
Source: RNAcentral